Felis catus (domestic cat) is the source of this 3432-nucleotide RNA transcript. It is a transcript of the gene named solute carrier family 35 member A1, with no coding region annotated. The transcript is spliced from 8 exons. NCBI's taxonomy places the organism in Eukaryota, Metazoa, Chordata, Mammalia, Carnivora, Felidae. The record is from RefSeq and is a predicted model, not a curated record.
CUUGCACUAAUCAGGGUUGUAUAGGACACUAGUAUACAUAAAAGAAGCACAUUAAGUCAACAGGUUUUCCUCUAAGACUUAGGAUGAUUCAAAAUGAGAAAGUAAAAUUUAGCUCAGAUGUAAAGAAUGUAAAUAUCUGCUUGGCCAUUCAUUGGGCUGAGAUAAUGAACAGAAACUCAAGCUAGAAAGUUAAUGGGAAAUAAUAUUUUUUCUGAAGGGCAUGCUGCAGUAGAAUAUAAUAACCAUCCCCUGUUUUGCGUGUCUGCUCUCUAACUCAGUGAAAAAUUUUGUUCUCUAAGAUCAUAUACUGUUAGAACCUUGCUGUUGACAUUUUAUCAGUAAGAAUUAAACAGCCUGCUUUUGCUUGAAGGAUUUAAGUCACUUUGACACAAAGAAGCAGCUUCAAUUUCCAACCUAAGAGGAAAGUCUUCAUUUUAGAGGCUCCUGAAUACAACAGUCCACAUCCAGUAACUUUGCUGUUUUCAAGAAACAGGAUCCUGAGACUAUGCUUUAGUCCAUAUCUGAUGUGAACUUCUUUAUAAACAGCCCUGCUUUGAAUGUAUCAAAACACUACUUCCUUUAAAUUUCAUUUAAGUCCACAUCCUUGUCCCAGAUUUUAUAACUCUUUCUGUAUUUCCAGAGACAUCCCACACAAUUCCUCUGUUGUGCAGUUUCCCUCACUGGUAUGGAUCAAUAAUCCUGCUCUGUCUGAAUACAGGUUUGUCCCUGCUGGUCUUGGGCUGGACAGGUUAGGACAAGAGGCAUCAAAGUCUAGUCAAGGUUCAUUCCAAUGGAGUAGGAAGUCUUUCGGGCAAUUAAAAUUUAUUAAGAAAAGUAGGGUUCAGCAGCAUAAGUUAUGUGAACCAGAAAUGCCACAAAAACAGUCCAACAGCAUUUUACUCACCACCCUAAGUAGUGCGCAUGUGUGUGUGGGCGUUUGCCUGUGUGUAUGUCUGUGUGUGUGUGAGAUACUAUUCUCUACCAGAAGGAACCACGGUUCCUUGAAGUGUAGUUGAUUGCAUUACCUAUGACAAGAAAAAAAUCAAGAUUGGCUGGAAACCCUUGUUGCCAGAAAUAAAGAAUGCUUCAAAAAAUCUUGUGCAGGUGUAAAGAAAGGAGUAGGCUCACAGGGGCCACACUGGGGUAAUUUGAGCAUCAAAAGGAGGAUAAUUAUAGUUAACAGAAUUGAGACUAUAAUGAUAUCCAAAAUGGGAAGAGAUAAACUGUACAAAUCCAUAGUUGUAAAAAAAAUUAGGAAUGUAUCAUGUUUUUAAAAUUAAUUUUAAGUCCACAUAUGAGGGUUUUUUUUUUUUUUUUUGAGUAUGUUAAGAACAUACACUAGGGAACCGUUACCAAUUACAGGAAGAGGUGAUUAGCACCAGUGAGCACACAUACAACCGGUAAAGGGAAGGUCCAACAGUGUUCGAAAAUGAGAUUAAUCAAAUGUCUGACUCCACAAAGCUCCUUCAGAUAGUAACGUGAUGCUAAUAAGGCAUGCAAAAUUUCCCAAUACUGUUAAUAGACUAUCUAUGUAAAUGUCUAUCUAAUGGUAACACAUAGAACAAUCACUCAAAUCUCUAAAAAGUCAUUUUAGGGAAAGAUGGUGCUACAGGAGAUGUAGGCGGCUGGGCAUCACAGAUUCUUGUACCGCUAUUCCUGUAAGGGCUGAGGUGCCUUCAUAGUAUUUUUAACCAAUCCACGUUAUCUGGAAAGCCUUUCAUUUUGCCAAUGAAUUUUUCUAACAUAGUUUAUGCUAAUAAAUAUCCUCUAGUGAAAGUGAAGAUUAUAGCGGCUGAAGUAAAUGCCUGUUGACACGUCUAAUAUUUUUGAGGCCCUUUUGUUGUGAGAAGAUCAUGUAGUUAGAAUGUCCGGUCAAGUAAAUAUAAUCAAUGACAACGCUGACAAUAAGGACACAGGCACAAAACUUCUGAAAAAUACAUAAGUCAUAUGAAGAGGUAACAAUGCAAGGUAAUGAGCGAGGUGGAAGUUACAAAAGUUAUGGAAAGUAGUUUCUGUUACUUUACAGGUUCUGAGGGUUUCUACAACAGCUUUUGACAGGCACGAAUCAUUAAGUCUGACCCCGUCUUCAUUUGCUACCAAAUCACCUUGGUGAGGACUACAAUUCCCAGAACGCAACGCUCUGCUCCCUUGACUCCGCUUCCUUAGCCGGCCGGGAGGUGUAGUUUACAGAACGACGUCUUCGACUCGAGUUUUACGCACUUGUCAGCAAGGACUCAGCCGUAAAGGCCUCUUUCCAUCCGGGUCUUUCCAUUUUCGGAGGUAGCUCGGAUUGCGGAGCCUAAUCUUGGCUCCAGGCUGGGCAGGAAGUUGGCGGAUGGUCGGCUGACGAGGCGCUCUAGGCCGAGCGGUUUUCGUCUCUAUGACCACAGGAGGCGGUCUCCGGUGUCCCGAGGAGGGCGCUUGGAGGGGGCGUGCGUCAGUUCCGCGCGGGGCUGUCGGGGAACCAUGGCUGCCCCAAGAGAAAAUGUCAGUUUAUUAUUCAAGUUAUACUGCUUGGCAGUGAUGACCCUGGUGGCUGCAGCUUAUACAAUAGCUUUAAGAUACACAAGGACAUCAGACAGAGAACUCUACUUUUCAACCACAGCCGUGUGUAUCACAGAAGUUAUAAAGUUAUUGCUAAGUGUGGGAAUUUUAGCUAAAGAAACUGGUAGUCUGGGUAGAUUCAAGGCGUCUUUAAGAGAAAAUGUCUUGGGGAGCCCCAAGGAACUGAUGAAGUUAAGUGUGCCAUCAUUAGUGUAUGCUGUUCAGAACAAUAUGGCUUUCCUAGCUCUUAGCAAUCUGGAUGCAGCAGUAUACCAGGUGACCUAUCAGUUGAAGAUUCCCUGCACUGCUUUAUGUACUGUUUUAAUGUUAAACAGGACACUCAGCAAAUUACAGUGGAUUUCAGUUUUUAUGCUAUGUGGUGGAGUCAUACUUGUACAGUGGAAACCAGCUCAAGCUACAAAAGUUGUGGUGGAACAGAACCCAUUGUUAGGGUUUGGCGCUAUAGCUAUUGCUGUAUUGUGCUCAGGAUUUGCAGGAGUGUACUUUGAAAAAGUUUUAAAGAGUUCAGACACUUCCCUCUGGUUCUUGCAAGUGUUGGAGGCCUCUACACUUCUGUUGUGGUCAAGUACACAGACAACAUCAUGAAGGGCUUUUCUGCAGCAGCAGCCAUUGUCCUUUCUACCAUCGCUUCAGUGAUGCUAUUUGGGUUGCAGAUAACACCCACCUUUGCUCUGGGUACUCUUCUUGUAUGUGUUUCUAUAUAUCUCUAUGGAUUACCCAGACAAGACACUACAUCCAUCCAACAGGGAGAAACAACUUCAAAAGAGAGAGUUAGUGGUGUGUGAUUUCAGCCUCAAAAGACUCUUACCAAGACAAAAACUGUUUGCAUUAAACUAGAGCCUUAAGUCAAUCCGAGAAGGUAGCUUA